This 371-nucleotide long non-coding RNA is filed under the name Heterocephalus glaber (naked mole-rat). RNAcentral describes it as "lncRNA (ENSHGLG00000049678.1)". Lineage: Eukaryota; Metazoa; Chordata; Mammalia; Rodentia; Bathyergidae. The record is from RNAcentral.
CCAAGAUCUUGAGAUGCUGAUAAGCUGGUAAGCAGGCAAGGUCAGCCCUGGAAAGUCACACCCUAUUUUAACACCUGGAGGACACCUGAAGUUGGGGGCUGAAAAAGCAGCAAAGUUGGUACAUAAUAACCAUGGAUAUAUAUGGGGUGCAGUGCGCUAAUCUUAUGCAUGCCUACAAUGGUAUACAAUGUGUGACGAUAAAGUCAAGGGCCUAAUAGAUAGAGUGUGCUGUGCCCUCGAAUGCUUCAUAAAUACUGCCCGUGGCGAGAGGAUGACAUUUCCUUGGGGAAUGCCUGUCAAAGAAAUGUUAUGCAUGAGUGAUUUUUAUGGACAACAGCACAGUAAUGGAAUACAGAUCUGCAAUGUAUCAC